Molecule: long non-coding RNA, 2186 nt
Filed under: Homo sapiens (human)
Lineage: Eukaryota; Metazoa; Chordata; Mammalia; Primates; Hominidae
Description: non-protein coding LINC02301:22
Source: RNAcentral
GUUCCUGUGUGAUGGGGCCGGAGCCAGUAAACAGGCUUCCUUCUCGCUCUGCUGUAUAAGAAGAAGAAGUAGGAGAAACAAAAUAAGGAGGAGAAGAAGUAAAAUAAUUUGAGAAGGAAUAUGAAGGGGCUGAAAUCCUGGGCUUUCUGGGCAGAAGGAUCUACGAGCGGGAUCGUGGGUGAAACAUGAAGAUGAUGGUGGACAGGUGAGCUACGCAGUUCGUGGAAGAACCAGGUCCCAUGGAGUUUCAUACAUUUUCCAGAGUUACAAAACCUGGCUAACACUGAGUCAAGUUAGGAAUCUCAAUCAAUGUCUUUGACCAACUUAAAGUGUUUGUAGAAUGUUUGAUGUACCUAAGAGUGAGUAAAAUGUGAAAGUCAGUUGCUGGAAUUGGUUGAAUGAGAGUGUCGGGUGAAGAAGGCAAGACAUGCAACAGAGGAAGAGGAAUGUGUCAUCCAAGAGGGGAAAAGAGAAAUACUAUUACUAUCUGUUGUCUUGGUGGUUCUCAUGAGGAGUGAAAGGAGAAUUGCUAACCUGGAAGAAGAUCAGAGAAACACACUAUACAGUCCUGCAGUCCUUCACCAAGUAGCAUGGGAUAGAAGCUCUGAACAUCAGCAUAAUUUUGAGGCCUAAAGUGUAAGAAUUGCUAGAAAUGCUGUGGUAUUAUUAAUUAAUUAAUUAAUUAAUAAUUAAUUUAUUUUUGUAUUAACUUAUUUUUAUUUAGAAAUGAUGGUAAAGAUGAUGAUGAUGAUGAUGAUGAUGCUUACAAUAACAGAUACUCAAGGUUAAAAAAUAAUUGUAAAAGUUCAAACUUACAUUAGAGUAAAAGUUAUCCUGGGUGCUGCAACCUUUGUCCAACAUGACUCAUGUAACCAAUAUUAACAGUGUAACCACAAAGCUUUGUAGUGGAAUACAUGUAGGCAAUUAUUUUUACCCAACAAGAUAUACUAGCAUUGGUUUUUCUCUGCCUCUGUUUCUGAUGAGUUGUUCAUACAAUAGAGGCUAGAUAGAAUAUUCAAGUCAAUAUAAUACAAACACAACUACCACUACAUAUGGGCUAGAAGCAGGAACCCCAUCACCCACCUAGAGAAUACAGAAGAAUUGAGAAAGUGAAGAGAAUAUUGUCAGGAUAUUGGAGAAGAGAUUUCUUUGGCGAUGAUGGGCACUCAAGUGAGAUAAUUAGCUUAGGGUCACCUAGGGUCCUAUAAAAAGGUAACCCAGCAGAUAAACACUGCAGGAGUAUUUAACGAUGCUCAGGGGCCUGAGAAAUGGUAAAAUUACACCAUCACCCAGGCCCACGGUGCUGCAUAUAUCACUACAUCUCAUCCCCUGCUGCCCCCCACACUGCAGCCAGAAGUUGUGAAAGGCGCGCAGGAGAGAGCAGAGAAGCAGCAGGACCUCCCCUCUAUCUCCACUGUCGGUGUCCCUACCGAACAGGGUCCUAGAUGGGUAGGAAGGAAGAAUUUAACACUGAGUCAAGUUGGGAAUUUCAAUUGAUAGUUUGACUGAUUAAAAGUGAUUGUAGAAAUGCCUGCAUUAUCGGGCGGGUGCGGUGGCUCACGCCUGUAAUCCCAGCACUUUGGGAGGCCGAGGCAGGAGAUCACGAGGUCAGGAGAUCGAGACCAUCCUGGCUAACAUGGUGAAACCCCUUCUCUACUAAAAAUACAAAAAAUUAGCUGGGCGUGGUAGCCGGCGCCUGUAGUCCCAGCUGCUUGGGAGGCUGUGGCAGGAGAAAGGCGUGAAUCCAGGAGGCGGAGCUUGCAGUGAGAUCGUGCCACUGUACUCCAGCCUGGGCAACAGAGCGAGACUCUGUCUCAAUAAAUAAAUAAAUAAAUAAAUAAAUAAAAAGAAAUGCCUGCAUUAUCUACAAGUGAGCAGAGAAGUACAAGUUUGUAGACUAGUUUUUAAAUUAGCUGGGAAAGAUAACUCCCUCAGAACAAAUCUUAAAGGGAGAGUAGGAAAUAUAUAUAAUAAAUCUAGUUUUUUGUUUGUUUGUUUUUUGAGACAGAGUCUCACUCUGUCGCCCAGGCUGGAGUGCAGUGGUGUGAUCUCUGUUCACUGCAACCUCCACCUCCCGGGUUCGAGCGAUUCUCCUGUCUCAGCCUCCUGAGUAAAUGGGAUUAUAGGCAGCCACCACCAUGCCCAGCUAAUUCUUGUAUUUUUAGUAGAGGAGAUGGGGUUUCACC